UACGUAGGGGGCAAGCGUUGUCCGGAUUUAUUGGGCGUAAAGAGCUCGUAGGCGGUUCGGUAAGUCGGAUGUGAAAUCUCCACGCUCAACGUGGAGGGGCCAUUCGAUACUGCCGUGACUCGAGUCCGGUAGGGGAGUGUGGAAUUCCCGGUGUAGCGGUGAAAUGCGCAGAUAUCAGGAAGAACACCUAUGGCGAAGGCAGCUCUCUGGGACGGUACUGACGCUGAGGAGCGAAAGCGUGGGGAGCGAACAGG
Molecule: ribosomal RNA, 254 nt
Filed under: uncultured bacterium
Lineage: Bacteria
Description: partial 16S ribosomal RNA
Rfam family: Bacterial small subunit ribosomal RNA
Source: RNAcentral